GCCAAGGUUGCAGAGUGGUCAAAUGCACCUGUCUGUAGAACAGGCUCCGUAAGGAUACCUAGGUUCGAAUCCUAGCCUUGGCA
This 83-nucleotide transfer RNA is filed under the name Candidatus Dojkabacteria bacterium. Its description in RNAcentral is "tRNA-Tyr". It matches the Rfam family "tRNA". Rfam says of the family: Transfer RNA (tRNA) molecules are approximately 80 nucleotides in length. Their secondary structure includes four short double-helical elements and three loops (D, anti-codon, and T loops). Further hydrogen bonds mediate the characteristic L-shaped molecular structure. tRNAs have two regions of fundamental functional importance: the anti-codon, which is responsible for specific mRNA codon recognition, and the 3' end, to which the tRNAs corresponding amino acid is attached (by aminoacyl-tRNA synthetases). tRNAs cope with the degeneracy of the genetic code in two manners: having more than one tRNA (with a specific anti-codon) for a particular amino acid; and 'wobble' base-pairing, i.e. permitting non-standard base-pairing at the 3rd anti-codon position. The record is from RNAcentral. RNAcentral also lists the same sequence under 1 other name.